CAGUCAACCAACAUUUCCUGUGUGCCCACUGUGUGCCAGGCACUGUUCUACACCCUGAAGAGACAAUGAAAAGAACGGAGCCCAGACUCUCUUGGGAUUUCCUGAAGUUCUUGGGGCCCCAAGGAAUCCUGAGAAGAAAAGGCCUGCAGUGCUGGUGGUGAGUAAGCACCUAGAGAAGAGAGCAUACAGCAGCAUAAUCUCCAGCAAAGACCAAUACUCAGUGUUCUUGGGAACCAAAGCGCAGGAACUUAAACGCUGAUGGCUAAUGACCAGGAGGAGAGGUGAUACCCAACCAGGAAAGCAGCAGCCGUCCAGCUCUUGGCACGUUGCCUUCAGUUCCAUGAAGGAGGGUCCCUCAUCCCACAUGCCACUGGAAUGGAAAGCAGAUUUGAAAGCAAGCACAGGCCUGCCAGCUGAGUACCAUUCAGACAUCUGCCUACAAUCAGGAGCCUCCUGCUCACGACUGGCUUCGUGCUAAGAAAAGCACAUUUCUUCAUUGGCCACUGGUGUGUCACAUCCACAAAGUAUGUGUUGAGGCUUGCUGAGCUUCUGGGGGUUUAGGAUGGACAAGGAGAGUGGCUGGAGCACUGUCCCCUAGCUCAAGCCUGGGGGAUGCAAGAGCACUGAGACCACCAGCCACUUGUUUUCAGGCAAGUGUCAGGAGCCACUCACAUCCUAAAUGCCCUUUGGCUGUGAGCACCAAAGAAAUCCCGCCACUGGUCAGCCUGGGUCAUAGAGCCCUGGGGACCUCUCUUCUUACCACUGUGUUUUGGCCGGUUCUCAGUGCAGCUCAAGAGUGCAGGGAUAAAUGAAAUCUUCUAUUUACUUUCACUCUACUGUGCUGGUGAGAUUGUUUUCAAACACUACCCCACCAUCACUGUUUUGCCACUGUGUUAGGACUGUUCUCAUUAGCCAUGAGAGACUUCAGAGGCAAAUGGACAAUGGCAAAACCAUAUAUAGAAAUUGAACUCUGACCCCCAACCUGCAGCAACCUCCCCAAGGAAUCCACCCCUUAUCUACAAUAAACAGCCCAGGAAGCCAGCCUGCUGUAGGUCAAACCUCAUAGGAAGCCACGUUGCUAUCUCAAGUGGUAAUCCACUAAGCUAAACAAUAACCUCUGUAACAAUAAGCCCCAAAUGGCUAGGAUUUGAUGAAUAACCAACAGGCUUUCUCAUUUUUAUCCCUGCUUCCAACUCAGGACCAAACGGGGAAAGCCAAAUAGGCGCCCCUAACCAACCGCAUAGGAUACCUCACUUGUAGUUGGCCUACCUGCAGUUUUGCCAUGCCAACAGCCUCCAAUCAUUCCUGAAGCUUUCCCUUUUUUCCACUCUCAAGCUUUCCUACUCCUCUUCCCGCCUUUGAGUCUUUGCCCAAACAUAAGUAAUGGUUGCUGAUUCCCUUGCUAUAGCAAGCUCUGAGUAAAUUACCUUUGCUUUUCUCAUUUGGUUGGUCUGCAUUUACUUACACAGCCAUUUAUUGACUUUUCCUUUAUGAAUUUCCAAAAAUGAUUUAAUAGUGCAUUUGGGUAACCAUAUUGAGCCCCAGUGUAAUGGUUACAAAUUAAACUGCUGUAUCAAAAACACCCCACACCAUAGCCCAAAUAUGACAGAAGUUCAAUUCUUUCCCACGUGCCUGUCUGCAGAUAAGGG
This 1649-nucleotide long non-coding RNA is filed under the name Homo sapiens (human). RNAcentral's name for it is "HSALNT0090187". Lineage: Eukaryota; Metazoa; Chordata; Mammalia; Primates; Hominidae. The record is from RNAcentral.